CAAAACCACACUCAGCUAUCACGUCACGCCAGUCAGAGUGGCCAAAAUGAACAAAUCAGGAGACUAUAGAUGCUGGAGAGGAUGUGGAGAAACGGGAACCCUCUUGCACUGUUGGUGGAAUGCAAACUGCUGCAGCCGCUCUGGAAAACAGUGUGGAGGUUCCAAACAAUUAAAAAUAGACCUACCCUAUGACCCAGCAGUAGCCCUGCUAGGAAUUUACCCAAGGGAUACAGGAGUGCUGAUGCAGAGGGGCACUUGUACCCCAAUGUUUAUAGCAGCACUCUCAACAAUCGCCAAAUUAUGGAAAGAGCCUAAAUGUCCAUCAACUGAUAAGUGGAUAAAGAAAUUGUGGCUUAUAUACACAAUGGAGUACUACGUGGCAAUGAGAAAGAAUGAAGUAUGGCCCUUUGUAGGAACGUGGAUGGAACUGGAGAGUGUUAUGCUAAGUGAAAUAAGCCAUACAAGGAAAGGCAGAUACCAUAUGUGUCCACUCUUUUGUGGAUCCUGAGAAACUUAACAGGAACACAUGGAGGAGGGGAAGAAAGAAAAAGCGCUUAGAGUGGGAGAGAGCCAAAGCAUAAGAGACUCCUACAAACUGAGAACAAACUGAGAGCUGAUGGGGGGUGGGAGGGAGGGGAGCGUGGGUGACGGGCACUGAGGAGGGCACGUGUUGGGAUGAGCACUGGGUGUUGUAUGGAAACCAGUUUGGCAAUAAAUUUCAAAUAUUUUUUUUUCGAAAACCAUCAAGGAAAAAGAAUCUCAGGUCAGAUUGUUAGAUGAGUAUGCACGGCACCUCCCCGCAUGAACAGCAGUGUCCCUGUGAUUUGUAACAGCACAGUGCAUUGUGGGGAUCCGAAGAGAGGGACAGUACCUGGCAGAGGUUGGAUCAGGAUAAUAGGACAUGUAGGAUGUUCAGUGCAGCACUGUGACAUGGCAAGAGAAGGGAAUGCUGUCACAAUCCCCCAUUUGUGAAGGGUUGAAUGGGUGAGGUGAGUGGUCACAUUUCCAGAAUGUUGUCUAGGUGGUAAGGCCCUUGCUCCUGACUGGAGGGGCCCCAGGGGCGUGUUGCUUGGCCACCAAAGUGCAGAGCAUUAGACAUAAUGCAAUGAGCCCCAUGUCCUUUGCGUAAAAAUCUCCCUGCUCCUCACGAACGUGUGUCAGACGUGGAGAAGGUGUGGAAGGAUGGUCGGGCGAACCGGGACACCUGGGAACGUUCGUCGGGGAAACGACCGGCCCCCAUGUCCCCCUUUCCCCGAAACUGAACAUGAGGGGAUGGGGGUGCCCAGGGAAGGCUCCGAGCUGUGACCUGACCUGACCUGGCCUGCUCUAGGCUGCUGUGUGUUACCUUAUGUGACGUCCUGGAAAACAUCCUGAGGCAUCGCCAGCGUGGGUGAAGGAAACCUCUCCAACCUCUGAGUAAUCCUGCGCACUGGGGUUUCUGGCAUCCAGAGCCCCGGUACCUGGGAAAACAACAAGAGAACAUCCUAAAGUCUCUGUGUCUGUAGGCAAGUGAGCCUGGUAUGGGACCUUCCUAGAACAUGGGUGCCAGGUUACAGGAGUUCCAAGCUUUCCUGGGGCCUAUUGUGAGCAAAGUGAUGUCACUGCCUAGGAUCCACCUCCUGAGUCCCCUCUGGGAUAACACCUUUGCAAAUAGUCCUCUCUUUGCUGACUGCUCACCCCCAUUCUCCAUGAAAUGUCACAUCGGUACACAGUUCCACCAACGCACCCCUCUCCACAGUCCCCUGGGAAGGUCUGGGGGCAGCCAGGGUCCCAGCUGCGAGACCUAUCUGGGUUGAGACAGAACUCUUCUUUCUUACCUCUUUCUGGUCCCAGAUUCGCGACUGUGCUUCUCAGGGAUGGUCCGUGUCUUAUCGGCCCAAUGGAGAUCAUUCUAGCAUGGCCUCAGGAUGUCCUCAGGAUGUCCUCAGGCAUAUGUGGGAUGAUACCUGUGAAAUUGGAGCAGCGGUGUCACCUGUUGGAAGUUUAUCCAACCACAUUGACUUCAA
Acinonyx jubatus (cheetah) is the source of this 2006-nucleotide long non-coding RNA. RefSeq lists it as uncharacterized. The record is from RefSeq and is a predicted model, not a curated record. Lineage: Eukaryota; Metazoa; Chordata; Mammalia; Carnivora; Felidae. The transcript has 2 exons.